Molecule: long non-coding RNA, 348 nt
Filed under: Setaria viridis
Lineage: Eukaryota; Viridiplantae; Streptophyta; Magnoliopsida; Poales; Poaceae
Description: long non-coding RNA (SVIR_LNC002176)
Source: RNAcentral
GGUUGUCUUGGAGAUGCCAAAGUGCUAUUUUGAGAUGCUAACCACCCAUGAGAGAAACAUUAGUCCCUUAAUUAUGCUAUUUUUAACAUGUUUCUCACAGUUUCUAUGUGUGUCGGAAGUUCCGACGUGGGGUUGGAAGUGUUGACACUUUUCGGAAGUCUUGGGUAACUUACGACAAGGGGUGCUCAGUGAAUUUUAUUUUUAUAGCGUCGGAAGUUCCGAUAGGCACUUUAACAGCACAAUAACAACUAGUUUUUGGGGGUCGAGUAUUCAUACCCCCUCACCUCCCUCUUGACUUGUUGCUGAUUUAAUCUAAGACAAACACCUCCUUAAGCAUUCAAUACUCCC